AGUGAACGCUGGCGGUAGGCCUAACACAUGCAAGUCGAACGGCAGCACAGUAAGAGCUUGCUCUUACGGGUGGCGAGUGGCGGACGGGUGAGGAAUACAUCGGAAUCUACUUUUUCGUGGGGGAUAACGUAGGGAAACUUACGCUAAUACCUCAUACGACCUACGGGUGAAAGCAGGGGAGCUUCGGACCUUGCGCGAUUGAAUGAGCCGAUGUCGGAUUAGCUAGUUGGCUGGGUAAAGGCCCACCAAGGCGACGAUCCGUAGCUGGUCUGAGAGGAUGAUCAGCCACACUGGAACUGAGACACGGUCCAGACUCCUACGGGAGGCAGCAGUGGGGAAUAUUGGACAAUGGGCGCAAGCCUGAUCCAGCCAUACCGCGUGGGUGAAGAAGGCCUUCGGGUUGUAAAGCCCUUUUGUUGGGAAAGAAAAGCAGCAGGUUAAUACCCCGCUGUUCUGACGGUACCCAAAGAAUAAGCACCGGCUAACUUCGUG
RNAcentral lists this ribosomal RNA (492 nucleotides) under uncultured bacterium. Its description in RNAcentral is "partial 16S ribosomal RNA". It matches the Rfam family "Bacterial small subunit ribosomal RNA", at positions 29 to 507 of the family's 1533-position model. The record is from RNAcentral.